GACGGACGCUGGCGGCGUGCUUAACACAUGCAAGUCGAACGGAAAGGCCCCAGCUUGCUGGGGUACUCGAGUGGCGAACGGGUGAGUAACACGUGGGUGAUCUGCCCUGCACUCUGGGAUAAGCCUGGGAAACUGGGUCUAAUACCGGAUAGGACCGUGCUUUAGUGUGUGCGGUGGAAAGUUUUUCGGUGCAGGAUGAGCCCGUGGCCUAUCAGCUUGUUGGUGGGGUAAUGGCCUACCAAGGCGGCGACGGGUAGCCGGCCUGAGAGGGUGUACGGCCACAUUGGGACUGAGACACGGCCCAGACUCCUACGGGAGGCAGCAGUGGGGAAUAUUGCACAAUGGGCGCAAGCCUGAUGCAGCGACGCCGCGUGGGGGAUGACGGCCUUCGGGUUGUAAACCCCUUUCGGCAGGGACGAAGCUUUUGUGACGGUACCUGCAUAAGAAGCACCGGCUAACUACGUG
RNAcentral lists this ribosomal RNA (465 nucleotides) under uncultured bacterium. Its description in RNAcentral is "partial 16S ribosomal RNA". It matches the Rfam family "Bacterial small subunit ribosomal RNA", at positions 28 to 507 of the family's 1533-position model. The record is from RNAcentral.